RNAcentral lists this ribosomal RNA (496 nucleotides) under uncultured bacterium. RNAcentral describes it as "partial 16S ribosomal RNA". It matches the Rfam family "Bacterial small subunit ribosomal RNA", at positions 28 to 506 of the family's 1533-position model. The record is from RNAcentral.
GAUGAACGCUGGCGGCGUGCCUAAUACAUGCAAGUCGAGCGAACGGACGAGAAGCUUGCUUCUCUGAUGUUAGCGGCGUACGGGUGAGUAACACGUGGAUAACCUACCUAUAAGACUGGGAUAACUUCGGGAAACCGGAGCUAAUACCGGAUAAUAUUUUGAACCGCAUGGUUCAAAAGUGAAAGACGGUCUUGCUGUCACUUAUAGAUGGAUCCGCGCUGCAUUAGCUAGUUGGUAAGGUAACGGCUUACCAAGGCAACGAUGCAUAGCCGACCUGAGAGGGUGAUCGGCCACACUGGAACUGAGACACGGUCCAGACUCCUACGGGAGGCAGCAGUAGGGAAUCUUCCGCAAUGGGCGAAAGCCUGACGGAGCAACGCCGCGUGAGUGAUGAAGGUCUUCGGAUCGUAAAACUCUGUUAUUAGGGAAGAACAUAUGUGUAAGUAACUGUGCACAUCUUGACGGUACCGAAUCAGAAAGCCACGGCUAACUACGU